This 564-nucleotide ribosomal RNA is filed under the name Gallionellales bacterium CG17_big_fil_post_rev_8_21_14_2_50_54_146. Its description in RNAcentral is "bacterial SSU rRNA". It matches the Rfam family "Bacterial small subunit ribosomal RNA", at positions 1 to 559 of the family's 1533-position model. The record is from RNAcentral. Lineage: Bacteria; Pseudomonadati; Pseudomonadota; Betaproteobacteria; Nitrosomonadales.
AUUGAACUUAAGAGUUUGAUCCUGGCUCAGAUUGAACGCUGGCGGUAUGCUUUACACAUGCAAGUCGAACGGGCUUGGGGGCUUGCUCCCGGGUUAGUGGCGAACGGGUGAGUAAUAUAUCGGAACAUAUCCGGAAGUGGGGGAUAACGUAGCGAAAGUUACGCUAAUACCGCAUAUGCCCUGAGGGGGAAAGGGGGGGAUCGCAAGACCUCUCGCUUUCGGAGUGGCCGAUACCGGAUUAGCUAGAUGGUGAGGUAAAGGCUCACCAUGGCGACGAUCCGUAGCUGGUCUGAGAGGACGACCAGCCACACUGGAACUGAGACACGGUCCAGACUCCUACGGGAGGCAGCAGUGGGGAAUUUUGGACAAUGGGCGAAAGCCUGAUCCAGCCAUACCGCGUGAGUGAAGAAGGCCUUCGGGUUGUAAAGCUCUUUCAGCCGGAAAGAAAUCGCACUUUUUAAUACGGAGUGUGGAUGACGGUACCGGAAGAAGAAGCACCGGCUAACUACGUGCCAGCAGCCGCGGUAAUACGUAGGGUGCGAGCGUUAAUCGGAAUUACUGGGC